UACGUAGGUGGCAAGCGUUGUCCGGAAUUACUGGGCUUAAAGCGUGCGUAGGCGGCCUAGCAAGUCGGGUGUGAAAGCCCUCGGCUCAACCGAGGAAUUGCGCCCGAAACUGCUGGGCUUGAGUGAGACAGAGGUGAGCGGAACUGAUGGUGGAGCGGUGAAAUGCGUUGAUAUCAUCAGGAACACCGGUGGCGAAGGCGGCUCACUGGGUCUCAACUGACGCUGAGGUACGAAAGCCAGGGUAGCGAACGGG
This 253-nucleotide ribosomal RNA is filed under the name uncultured bacterium. RNAcentral's name for it is "partial 16S ribosomal RNA". It matches the Rfam family "Bacterial small subunit ribosomal RNA", at positions 524 to 776 of the family's 1533-position model. The record is from RNAcentral.